RNAcentral lists this ribosomal RNA (831 nucleotides) under Fusarium venenatum. Its description in RNAcentral is "eukaryotic LSU rRNA". It matches the Rfam family "Eukaryotic large subunit ribosomal RNA", at positions 74 to 935 of the family's 3401-position model. Lineage: Eukaryota; Fungi; Ascomycota; Sordariomycetes; Hypocreales; Nectriaceae. The record is from RNAcentral.
AUUGCCCUAGUAACGGCGAGUGAAGCGGCAACAGCUCAAAUUUGAAAUCUGGCUUUCGGGCCCGAGUUGUAAUUUGUAGAGGAUGACUUUGAUGCGGUGCCUUCCGAGUUCCCUGGAACGGGACGCCAUAGAGGGUGAGAGCCCCGUCUGGUUGGAUGCCAAAUCUCUGUAAGUCUCCUUCGACGAGUCGAGUAGUUUGGGAAUGCUGCUCUAAAUGGGAGGUAUAUGUCUUCUAAAGCUAAAUACCGGCCAGAGACCGAUAGCGCACAAGUAGAGUGAUCGAAAGAUGAAAAGCACUUUGAAAAGAGAGUUAAAAAGUACGUGAAAUUGUUGAAAGGGAAGCGUUUAUGACCAGACUUGGGCUUGGUUAAUCAUCUGGGGUUCUCCCCAGUGCACUUUUCCAGUCCAGGCCAGCAUCAGUUUUCGCCGGGGGAUAAAGACUUCGGGAAUGUGGCUCCUCUCGGGGAGUGUUAUAGCCCGUUGUGUAAUACCCUGGCGGGGACUGAGGUUCGCGCUUCUGCAAGGAUGCUGGCGUAAUGGUCAUCAACGACCCGUCUUGAAACACGGACCAAGGAGUCGUCUUCGUAUGCGAGUGUUCGGGUGUAAAACCCCUACGCGUAAUGAAAGUGAACGCAGGUGAGAGCUUCGGCGCAUCAUCGACCGAUCCUGAUGUUCUCGGAUGGAUUUGAGUAAGAGCAUACGGGGCCGGACCCGAAAGAAGGUGAACUAUGCCUGUGUAGGGUGAAGCCAGAGGAAACUCUGGUGGAGGCUCGCAGCGGUUCUGACGUGCAAAUCGAUCGUCAAACAUGGGCAUGGGGGCGAAAGACUAAU